GGGACUCACUGCAGGUGGUCUCAGACUCAUCGGAGCCAUCGGGACACUCCUCCUCGCCGUCACACUUCCAGUGCUCGCGGAUGCAGUGGCCGUUGUCACAGAGAAGAAAACAAAAGACUGAGGAGGGUAACAAGACAUUAUAGUGUAUAAGGAACAUGCAACAGAUUCUGACACGGAGCAGAUGCUUGGUGAGUAGCAGCUAUUGCUGUUUUCAUGCUUUGAGUCUGAAAUUAGAAGCAAAAGAAAUGGGGCUUCGGUGCCCACACAGGGGAUGUCGCAGGCUGAGAUUGCACAGCUGGUAGCAGAGCUAGGACAAGAAUGUGGGUAGCAGCCCCAGCCCAAGACUCUCUGCCUUGUUUCUGUGCCUUGUCUUAAAAAGAACCAGAAUUUCAGGAUCAGGGAAGGGACAAGAGAGGGCUGUCCAUGUCCUGGGAUGCCCCAUUAGCAUUGCUCUGUGCUGCCCUAGAGCUCCAGCCCCUUCCUGAGCACCAUCACCCAGCACAGACCACAUCUGCAGGCGGGGCAGGGGUGAGGGCAGUCGCCCCGACAGGCUUUCACGGGGGAUCUGGGACUGCCUGGUGACCCCAGCAGGUGGGGAGGGACUGGGAAGGAGGCCUUGAGAACCCCGGCCAUGACUCAUAGCAUCUUCCACAGCAGCCCUGGGCCUCUGAAUUGUGGGGGGCGCAUCUGCAUGAAAUCUGCGUUCGAUUUACAUGCAAUAAAACUUUAUUUUAAAAACAGGCAAUAGGCUGUAUUUGGCCUGUGGUCUGUAGUUUGAUGACUUCUGCUCUAAAUCAUCACUGAUCCACAGUCCAGGAUGAUUUGCUUCCUUCCUUGUCCCUCCAGCACAGGGACCAUGUCAGAUCCAGCAAAGACCUAACUCAGCACAUCUGUGUUCUGAGAUGAGUUUUCAUCACAUUUGUCUUAGACGGAUGCCUCUGUACGCGCAGGGCUAGAAAAAACUAGAGGAAUCAGAGUCUACCUAUGGAUGGAGUGAGUAAGGCCCAGAGAGGGAAAGGGGCUGGCCUAGAGAAACACAGCAAGGCAAGGAUAAGAACUAGCUAUCUUGCCUCUUAGCCCAGGGCUCUAAGUGGCGUUCCCUGUGCCCUCUGUGGUGGGAGGAGGUUGCUGUCCUUGAUGGAUACCAGUGCCACCUGCUGUACGCACGGAGAGUAAGUACCAUAUCAACCCAGCACCUGGGCAGUUCCCUUCACAAGCUCGGCAUCCAAAGGAGAAAGAUGCAUUCUAGCUUUUCCUCCUUCCUGUUCUAACCUCCACCGAGUGCCCCCUGUGUGCCAGUCUCUGUGCCGGGUGCUUCACCCAGGAAACCCCUGACAAAGGGCCUGUUUUGUACCCACUUGACACCUAAGGAAACCCAGGCCCAAGGUUUCCUCAGUGGUACCAGAUGUGGAAGAAAAGCCCCAAAGCAGUUGGCAGAGGCCCGUGGAAGCUUCAGUUCAGCAUUCAAGGAGCCUCUUGUCUGUUCCAGGUUCUGCACUGAAAACACAGAGGAGAAUCAGCCCAGCUCAGGCUCUGGGAGUUCAGAGCAAGUAGGCAGGUCUGGCAAGGACGCAUGACCAGGCAGUGCCCAGAACAGCAAGGCGGCUUGAAGAAGGUGGUGAAGGGGCUGUCACUGGGCACAGGACAGCCAGAUGCUCUCCAAGAACCCUUCCCUCCCUGGCAUUCUGGAAGCCCCUCCUCAUCAGGAAAUGGAGCGUGGCUUCCAUGUGCCAAGCCCUGGCAGGCACUGGGCAGGAAGGCCGGAGCAGCCACAGUACAAGCAGAGCCCUGAAGGGCAGCUCUGAGGUCAGCCAGGCCCAGGAAAUGGCAGCUGCAGGGACGGGUGUCCCAUGGUGGUGUUUUGAGGAGCAGAUUUGUUCACUGUCUAGACCAGUUUGGACAUUUUCCACCCUGGCCCUGGCCUGGCACUUUUCACCUAAUAUCCCAGUGACUCCUUACAGCUACUCUAGUAGCUGUUAUGAAUCCCAUUUUACAGAAGAGGAAAUUGAGGCCCAAAGAGGUGAGGGUGGUAGGUGGCAGAAGUGGGAUUUCAACUCUGUGUGGCAGCUGCCGAAGCUUGGGCUCUUUCCACUGAGGCCGCCAGCCGCCCCGGUGUGACCAGGCUAAGAACGAGGACCCCAGAGGAACCCAAACGCAGGUCGGGGACAUGCCCAGGAGCGUGCAGCAGAACAACCUGGGCCCAAGAUGACUUGCGCUCUGCUGGGGGCCACCGUGGGGAAAUGGAAGCAGCACGGUCCAUUGCAGGCUGGGAACUAGACUAAACCGCCUUCCAGGGCCUGUCAGAAGCGUAACCACAAGGAAGGAUUUGGAGUUGGAGCUGAGACUGAACUCGGGGGCAGCCACCU
Molecule: non-coding RNA, 2366 nt
Organism: Microcebus murinus (gray mouse lemur)
Lineage: Eukaryota; Metazoa; Chordata; Mammalia; Primates; Cheirogaleidae
Source: RefSeq, a predicted model, not a curated record